RNAcentral lists this ribosomal RNA (253 nucleotides) under uncultured bacterium. RNAcentral describes it as "partial 16S ribosomal RNA". It matches the Rfam family "Bacterial small subunit ribosomal RNA", at positions 524 to 776 of the family's 1533-position model. The record is from RNAcentral.
UACGAAGGGGGCUAGCGUUGCUCGGAAUCAUUGGGCGUAAAGCGCGUGUAGGCGGCUCGGUAAGUCCGCUCUGAAAGCCCCGGGCUCAACCUGGGAAUGGCGAUGGAUACUGGCUCGCUAGAGUGCGGUAGAGGAGAGUGGAAUUCCCGGUGUAGCAGUGAAAUGCGUAGAGAUCGGGAGGAACAUCAGUUGCGAAGGCGGCUCUCUGGACCAGCACUGACACUGAGGCACGAAAGCGUGGGGAGCAAACAGG